AAGUAAACGUGUGUGUGGACGGUGUAUUUGUAUUGAUGGAGCUCAUCCACUUCACAUGGUGCAUAAAACACUUUGCUGUACCGUUUCUUUUUCUAUGACCCUUUCAUCUUGAUCUUGAAAGCAAAGGCUUUAAAGAAUCAAUAAAGAACGAUUUUUGAGUUUUGUCCCAAUGGAAACCAAAAAUUCGGCUCAGGCCGCCAAGGCCAGUCAAGUCGGAAAUGUUUAAACUCUUGAAUCCAAAUUUUUAAACAUCCCUUUCGAGCCCUCUUGUCUCGACGGUCCGAACGGUCCGGUCGACGGAGGGGUGCCCCAAAGUCGAUACCCCCCCCUGUCGGUACCCCCACGUUGUUAUUUUUACAACUUUAACUACAAACUAUGAACAAUAUAUGAACUGUUCAAAGUUCACAGAUUACAGCGUUUCCCCUCUGUAACAGCCGGAAGUGUAGUUAAUUGGAAUUUGGGGAAUAUUAUUCAUUCAAUUUUAGAUGCAUGCUCAUUGAAACUAAAGAUGUAACAUACAUUGAAAAGCAUUUACGUUAGAUUGAUGCUCCUUGUUCGUCUCAAAGUGUUGACGUGCAGCACAGAAGAGCUCCGGUACGGUAGUUACUCGAGAUACCUUUACUGGCAAGACUCAAGUGCAGAUGAUGCUCGGAGGGACCUGGAGCAAAUCACCAUGGCAAUAUUUGUUGUCUUUCGGAAAGAGGGGAAAGGACUGCAGGAGCCACCUGAAGACAUUAGCAUCGUCAUUGAGGGUGUGGAGGUGUUGCAUCAACUGUCAAAAGCUGUCCGUUUCAGCUUGUGCCCUGCUUCUGGGAUUGAUACUCAACCUCUCUUACCCAAAACCACUUCAUUUCACUUUUAAAGUGCUCCAGAAGAUAAUCAUGGAGCUUGAUCAGCAGAAGAUGUCCCCCAAGGUCCAUAAUCUGUAUGGCAGACUUCAAACACAAUAGUGUUUCGAUAUGGGGCAUUUCACUAUUCAGCCCCUUUGGAUGUUGGGCCUUUGUUAGCUCCAAGAUAAAAAUGUUAAGAUACAAUGUUGUUUUAUAUAUAUUAUCACUUGAUUGUAUACAAAUGCUUCUAUCAUACAUAUGAUUUUUGGGGAAAAAGUUCAAUUUCUGUCAGGUGUUCCCAAACAUUGUUACAUAUCAGAAGGCCAAAUGUGACUUGGCAUGGUUAUGCAUUUUGUGCAUAUUUAUGUUAAAAAAAACACUGGAAACAAAUACAAGCAAUACAUUUUGAAAGCCA
Molecule: non-coding RNA, 1245 nt
Organism: Gasterosteus aculeatus aculeatus (three-spined stickleback)
Lineage: Eukaryota; Metazoa; Chordata; Actinopteri; Perciformes; Gasterosteidae
Source: RefSeq, a predicted model, not a curated record